Molecule: non-coding RNA, 78 nt
Organism: Sphagnurus paluster
Lineage: Eukaryota; Fungi; Basidiomycota; Agaricomycetes; Agaricales; Lyophyllaceae
Source: the annotation of a GenBank genome assembly
GGGUCGGUGGCGUAGUUGGUUAUCGCAUCUGUCUUACAUGCACACAGAAGGUCCUCAGUUCGAGCCUGGGUCGACUCA